GGAUAGCUACCACAUCUAAGGAAGGCAGCAGGCACGCAAAUUACCCAAUUGUCGAUGACAGAGGUAGUAAUAAUAAAUAACAAUACAGGACUCGUCCGAGGCCUUGUAAUUGGAAUGUUUUUAAGAUAAAGACAUGAAGGAGGAACUAUUAGAGGGCAAGUCUGGUGCCAGCAGCCGCGGUAAUUCCAGCUCUAAUAGCGUAUUUUAAUGUUGUUGCGGUUGAAAAGCUCGUAGUUGGAUAUCAUUGAUUGUAUAAGUUCAAUGUGAAUUGUUCUUAUACAGGAGAGGGAAGUCAAGCGGUGAAAAUAAACUUGAAUGUUUAUAUCCACAUAACGCCUGGCUUAAGUUACUUUGAAUAAAUCAAAGUGCUCAAUACAAGCUUUUGCUUGAAUAUAUGUGCAUGGGAUAACGCAAGAAGAUCAAUAUCGAAUCUGUUGGUUGAAUCGAUAUGGGUAAUGAUUAAUAGAGAUUGACGGGGGCAUUUGUAUUUGAAAGCGAGAGGUGAAAUUCUGUGACCUUUCAAAGACAUGCUAAAGCGAAAGCACUUGCCAAGAAUGUUUUCACUAAUCAAGAACGAAAGUUAGAGGCUCGAAGGCGAUUAGAUACCGCCCUAGUUCUAACCAUAAACAAUGCCAACUAACAAUCUUGUGUAGUUUAAGUUGAAACUAACAAGGAAGUUUUCGGAAAACCAAAGUUUUUGGGUUCCGGGGGUAGUAUGGUUGCAAAGCUGAAACUUAAAGUAAUUGACGGAGUUGCACCACCAGGAGUGGAGCCUGUGGCUUAAUUUGACCCAACACGGGGAAGCUCACCAGGGCAAGACACUAUUAGGAUUGACAGAUUGAUAGCUCUUUCUCGAUAAAGUGGGUGGUGGUGCAUGGCCGUUCUUAGUUGGUGGAGUGAUUUGUCUGGUUAAUUCCGAUAACGAACGAGACUCUGACCAAUUACUAGUGAAAUCUUUUGAAAAGAAAGUUACCGCAGUAAUGCAGUUUCAUUCGAGAUUUUACUUCUUAAGGGGACACGCUAUUGUGAAUAGCACGAGGAAGAGCAAUAACAGGUCUGUGAUGCCCUUAGAUGUUCUGGGCUGCACACGCGCUACAAUAAAUUAAUCAACAAGUUCUCCGUUUUGACAGAUGCGGGCAAACUUUUGAAAUUAAUUUAUGGUAGGAAUGGGAACUUGCAAUUAUUUUCCCUGAACUAGGAAUUCCU
Molecule: ribosomal RNA, 1206 nt
Filed under: metagenome
Description: SSU rRNA
Rfam family: Eukaryotic small subunit ribosomal RNA
Source: RNAcentral